CACGUAGGGGACGAGCGUUGUCCGGAUUCAUUGGGCGUAAAGGGCGUGUAGGCGGUCUGUUAAGUCAUGUGUGAAAUCCCUCGGCUCAACCGGGGAACGACGCAUGAAACUGACAAGCUAGAGUACCAAAGAGGGGGGUGGAAUUCCCGGUGUAGCGGUGAAAUGCGUAGAUAUCUGGAGGAACACCGGUGGCGAAGGCGGCAUCCUGGACCAUAACUGACACUGAUAAGCGAAAGCCAGGGGAGCAAACGGG
This 253-nucleotide ribosomal RNA is filed under the name uncultured bacterium. RNAcentral describes it as "partial 16S ribosomal RNA". It matches the Rfam family "Bacterial small subunit ribosomal RNA", at positions 524 to 776 of the family's 1533-position model. The record is from RNAcentral.